UACGGAGGGUGCAAGCGUUACUCGGAAUCACUGGGCGUAAAGCGCGCGCAGGCGGCCCGUUAAGUUGGAUGUGAAAUCCUAUGGCUCAACCAUAGAACUGCAUCCAAAACUGAUGGGCUAGAGUCUGGGAGGGGAAGAUGGAAUUAGUGGUGUAGGGGUAAAAUCCGUAGAGAUCACUAGGAAUACCAAAAGCGAAGGCGAUCUUCUGGAACAGUACUGACGCUGAGGCGCGAAAGCGUGGGGAGCAAACAGGAUUAGAUACCCUGGUAGUCCACGCCCUAAACUAUGAAUGUUAGUCGUCGGGGGGCUCGUCCUUUCGGUGAUGCAGCUAACGCAUUAAACAUUCCGCCUGGGGAGUACGGUCGCAAGAUUAAA
Molecule: ribosomal RNA, 375 nt
Filed under: uncultured bacterium
Lineage: Bacteria
Description: bacterial SSU rRNA
Rfam family: Bacterial small subunit ribosomal RNA
Source: RNAcentral